This is a long non-coding RNA of Branchiostoma floridae (Florida lancelet), 498 nucleotides long. RefSeq lists it as uncharacterized. The record is from RefSeq and is a predicted model, not a curated record. The transcript has 2 exons. NCBI's taxonomy places the organism in Eukaryota, Metazoa, Chordata, Leptocardii, Amphioxiformes, Branchiostomatidae.
AAACAAUGAUAUAAAGGAAAGAACCAACUGCUAUGUUUAGUAGCCAUGAAGUGGAACUGCCCAGAAUAGCUGAGGCAACUACGGCAAGGGAAACAUAUUUACGUAUAUCAUACUGUAUGUUUUCCUGCCGUAUAUGAUACAACUUCAUACAAGUAAAAACGUUUUCCCUUGCCGUAGUUGCCUCAGCUAUAGAUACCACUGCAUACUAUAUGAGGUUCAUAAAAAUGUAUGGAAUAAUUUGUUACAUCAGCUACAUGACCUUGAGAAUCUAAGACAAAAACAUGCAAUCUCGAUACCUGAGUUAUUCAAUACAGGAAAAUGUGUACAUCUUACACUAUUCUUAACACAUUUGCCACGAAACAAAAUCACUCUACCCUCUGCAGUUGCAGUGAAGAGCUGAAUCGAAAAACACAAGAUGGGGGAGGGGGGCUGUGAUGUCACAGAAUUGGUCUUUGAAUAUACAUCUACAGCGAAUGUGUUGACACACUUUUCUUAGAC